This 85-nucleotide non-coding RNA is filed under the name Orenia metallireducens. RNAcentral's name for it is "Cyclic di-GMP-II riboswitch aptamer". It matches the Rfam family "Cyclic di-GMP-II riboswitch aptamer". Lineage: Bacteria; Bacillati; Bacillota; Clostridia; Halanaerobiales; Halobacteroidaceae. RNAcentral also lists the same sequence under 1 other name. The record is from Rfam by way of RNAcentral.
AAUUAUUAAGGAACUGUGAAGUAUAACCUGUAUUUGGUCACCUAAGGGUUAUAUGGAGUUAAUGGUGAAACCACCCUAUAUUAUU